Molecule: non-coding RNA, 1769 nt
Organism: Paramuricea clavata
Lineage: Eukaryota; Metazoa; Cnidaria; Anthozoa; Malacalcyonacea; Plexauridae
Source: the annotation of a GenBank genome assembly
UCCAAAAGAAAAUUGUUUUGGGGAAGAGAAACAAGAGGGUUAAGCGACAAAUAUGUUCCAAUAAUGUGUACCUUUUAAUUUUUUCCUUUCAUCUUUUAUCCUUCCUACUUCCUAUAUCGUGCAGGAAAUAGCAAUCUAAAAAGCAUUAGAGCCACGCAUUUUUAUCAUGCUACCCGCGCCGUCUGUAUAAUUCAAGCCUCGCUGCGCUAAUAACCUGUACGUUUUCAAUCAUAUAUCUCAACUUGACAGCUCUGCUACACAAACAAUAAUGUGGAGCUACGGCUUGCGAGAGAUACAUGCAACUAUCUGAAAAAUAUAUACAGGAUUCUGUCGAAAGACCUUCGCUCAAACGUCGAAGAACUGCGUAUAUAUAUACUUCAGUUAUAGUCAGUGCAUCUGUCUCACGCCGGAUCUGUUGUUAUCGUCACUAUAACAACCCUAGCACCGUUCGAGAAUAUAGAACAAUAAUUUGGGUCCGUUUAUUGAAUUUCUUUGGUGAGCGAAUUUCCCAACAGGCUAUCGCUAAUUGAUAGGGGAUCCGAGGUACCUACGAUUUAACGUCCUUAUUCCGAGAAGACACGGAAGCCUAACCAUUUACUGAUGUCAAUGUAACGGUCGCUCUUUCUGGUCAAUAUCUUAAGACCUUGAGUAGAGAUCCGACCAAGAAUUGAACCCGGCUCUCUUAGCUUGAAAGACAAGCGUCCGUGAACACAUAUAGGACGCUCGGGACAAAUUCAAGCGCGAUAGCUCUGGGUAGGGAAUUGACUCGAGGGCAUGCAGCUAUAACUGCACGAAUUACCGAAUUAUUAAAUGCCACUAAACGCGUUUGCGUGCGUGGCCCUUUCAAUAUAACUGACUCACUUAUUCUCAUAAAAAACAACACGAUAACAUAGAUUUGUAUCAACUAAAUUGUGGCUUCAAUUUACACGCAUAUUUAAUAAAAACUAGCACUAUGCAAUUUAAAACGCCGGGCAUCAAUGAUACAGUCUUGGAAUAAAACACGAGCGUUAUUAACAUGAAUUUGGCAUGCAAAUACAUAAGGUUUUGUUAAUUGAUUCAUAUUGUUCUUCACAAAAAAUUGUUUUGAAAAAUAUCAGUUUAGCAUUGUAUCUGAACAGUACAUUAGUUUAAAUUUAUUUGUAAAAUUGUUAAAGGUUAAAAGAUGUUUAAAUAUGAGAUACAGGACAUACAGUCAAACCAAAAUGUUAAAGUUCCACUAUUAAAGUUCCACACAUGUCUUUUCACAAAAGGAACCUCGAAGCAGAUGUUCCCAAGAUCUUUGCAAGCUGUUCCAAGCUGUCUUCAAAGCCAAGCGUCAAAAUAACCUCACGUAUAGAUACCGACUAUGUUAAAUUACCACGAAAUGAACACAAAUAAGUACAUUUUAAGAAAGUUUGAUAUUCUUCAGAGAUACACAGCAAUAGGAAGAAGUACUAAAGUCAGGAUGCAACCUUGUGUCAAGCGAACGCCCGAUCCCUUAGUGGUAUUCGAUGCCAUGGUCGUUGGCGCUGGCGCUGUAGUUGAACUAGUAUUCGACUGCGAUUGAACGUAUACAAAUGCCAAGCAUAGAAUGAGAACGAAGAUAAAUUUCCCAGACAUUUUAAGUUUGCUUCAACGAAUAAACAGAGCUUCUUAAAACACACAGAAGUUUCCUCCAAGACUUGGAACACAAUACUUGCGCAUCGGAGUGGCGCGACUGAAGAUCACACCUCUUCGAUGGAACUGGCCAAUCAAAUUCGUUUCAUUUGCAUCCUGAGUGCUUGGACAAC